GAUUAAAUAGAAAAAUCACCCAAUCCUUAGAGGAGAUGUCUGCACACAGAAUGUACAGAAAUAUGUCUGUCUUUGCCCAUGAUGGGAGAGGAAAGGCCAUUCUGUCUCUUGGUAGCAGAUGAAGAUUGGCUUUAGAGCUCAUCGGGAAGAACUAUGUCUUGACCAGCAUCCUUCAUCACUGAGGACACCAGUGUUCCUAUGUUGAUCAAAAUGUUUCUGUUUGGACAAACGGAGGCAGGAUGGCGCACUUCCGGGUUCUUCAUCACCA
This 268-nucleotide long non-coding RNA is filed under the name Rhinopithecus bieti (black snub-nosed monkey). RNAcentral's name for it is "lncRNA (ENSRBIG00000045311.1)". Lineage: Eukaryota; Metazoa; Chordata; Mammalia; Primates; Cercopithecidae. The record is from RNAcentral.